UACAGAGGGGGCAAGCGUUGUUCGGAAUUACUGGGCGUAAAGGGCGCGUAGGCGGCCUUCUAAGUCGAACGUGAAAUCCCCGGGCUCAACCCGGGAACUGCGUCCGAUACUGGAAGGCUUGAAUCCGGGAGAGGGAUGUGGAAUUCCAGGUGUAGCGGUGAAAUGCGUAGAUAUCAGGAGGAACACCGGUGGCGAAGGCGGGUCUCUGGGCAGUAACUGACGCUGAGGAGCGAAAGCGUGGGGAGCGAACAGG
RNAcentral lists this ribosomal RNA (253 nucleotides) under uncultured bacterium. RNAcentral's name for it is "partial 16S ribosomal RNA". It matches the Rfam family "Bacterial small subunit ribosomal RNA", at positions 524 to 776 of the family's 1533-position model. The record is from RNAcentral.